This is a long non-coding RNA of Gymnogyps californianus (California condor), 458 nucleotides long. RefSeq lists it as uncharacterized. NCBI's taxonomy places the organism in Eukaryota, Metazoa, Chordata, Aves, Accipitriformes, Cathartidae. The transcript has 2 exons. The record is from RefSeq and is a predicted model, not a curated record.
UCCACAAGUGUUCUUGCGAGCCAGAAAUGAUCGCGCGUGCUGAUUCCUAAGUUCCUUGCUGGACAGCUGUCCUGAGCUCAGCCUUCCCACCUGCCUUUAAUAACUCCAGCCUCUUCUCGAAAACACGACGUUUGGAGAAAUGUAAAGACGGAUUCCGAGUGCUAACGUGGGGAUUUUAGUAUGUGCCUUUGUUCAAGUGUAAUGUAGCAGCGCCUGCACUGAACCAAUCUUGGAUUAUUUCUAAUGUUGGCUCAAAAUGCGUAUUUUUCUUCCUUAAAACUACUGUGGGUCAUUCCGCAAGGAGAGAGUUCGUUAAAAAGGGGGGUGGGGAGAGGGAACACCUUUUUAAAACGGAGUCUUUGUGAUUCCACAGUUUAUGCGGUUAUAUUCCAAAGCCUGGAAAAGCUUUCGUCUUUAUUUUUCAAGUGUUCUUCACAAAAUAAAAAGUCAUUUCUAGA